UGGGCAAGGGGGGGCUUAUCACCAUGCAGUCGUAACAAGGUAACCAAAGCUUGCUCCCGGAUGUUAACGACGGACGGGUGAGUAACACGUGGGUGACCUGCCUGUAAGACUGGGAUAACUCCGGGAGACCGGAGCUAAUACCGGAUAGUUCCUUGAACCGCAUGGUUCAAGGAUGAAAGACGGCUUCGGCUGUCACUUACAGAUGGACCCGCGGCGCAUUAGCUAGUUGGUGGGGUAAUGGCUCACCAAGGCGACGAUGCGUAGCCAACCUGAGAGGGUGAUCGGUCACACUGGGACUGAGACACGGCCCAGACUCCUACGGGAGGCAGCAGUAGGGAAUCUUCCGCAAUGGACGAAAGUCUGACGGAGCAACGCCGCGUGAGUGAUGAAGGUUUUCGGAUCGUAAAGCUCUGUUGAUAAGGAAGAACAAGUGCGAGAGUAACUGCUCGCACCUUGACGGUACCUAACCAAAAAGCCACGGCUAACUACGUGCCAGCAGCCGCGGUAAUACGUAGGUGGCAAGCGUUGUCCGGAAUUAUUGGGCGUAAAGGGCUCGCAGGCGGAUUCUUAAGUCUGAUGUGAAAGCCCCCGGCUCAACCGGGGAGGGGCAUUGGAAACUGGGAAACUUGAGUGCAGAAGAGGAGAGUGGAAUUCCACGUGUAACGGUGAAAUGCGUAGAGAUGUGGAGGAACACCAAUGGCGAACGCGACUCUCUGGACUGACACUGACGCUGAAGAGCGAAAGCGUGGGGAGCGAACAGGAUUACAUACCCUGGUAGUCCACGCCGUAAACGAUGAGUGCUAAGUGUUAUGGAGGUUUCCGCCCCCUUAAUGCUGCAGCUAACGCAUUACGGCACUCCGCCUGGGGGAGUACGGGCGCAAAGACUGAAACCUCAAAGGGAAUUGAACGGGGGCCCCGCACAAGCCGGUGGGAGCAUGUGGUUUUAAUUCCGAUGC
Molecule: ribosomal RNA, 956 nt
Filed under: Bacillus sp. (in: firmicutes)
Lineage: Bacteria; Bacillati; Bacillota; Bacilli; Caryophanales; Bacillaceae
Description: bacterial SSU rRNA
Rfam family: Bacterial small subunit ribosomal RNA
Source: RNAcentral